Nothobranchius furzeri (turquoise killifish) is the source of this 553-nucleotide non-coding RNA. Lineage: Eukaryota; Metazoa; Chordata; Actinopteri; Cyprinodontiformes; Nothobranchiidae. The record is from RefSeq and is a predicted model, not a curated record.
AUCAACUGUCAAGCAACUUCCUCUCUGCAAAUGUUCAACCACCAAGUUCUCCAUCCUUGAAUACAGCAGAGUGGUAUGGCCAGAAUAAUGUGAUUGAUUCAACUGAAUAUGCCUCUCCACCAAAGAAGCCCUCACCUCAAAGUCAAGGAAAAAGUAGGUCUGAAGACUGGUGGGACUACUUUUUUUCCAACUUCUUUGGAGACGAGGACCUUGACGAAGACUUGGAGCCACAAAACUCUGUGAUUGGCACUGAAAAAUACUGGUUUCCUCAGGUCGGAUUUUCCUCAAAAGCUCAAGAACCACUCACCCCCCCUCCUCCACGUCCCCAGAUUUAUAUUGUCCACACUAAAGGGAAUUAUAAACGAGGAAGAGUUGUCCACACUAAAUCGGUCUACUCUCCCAAGUAUGAGACACCAAUAUUGAAAUAUCCCAAGGGUUCUAAGGCUUCUGGAGGACCGUCAGAUAAUCUGUCGAACUUGCUUGAAGAUCAUUUAAAGAAUGAUGGGGAGGAAAGCGACUGACCUAUGUAAGAAAUAAAGAUUUUAAAUUUCAA